Molecule: long non-coding RNA, 3254 nt
Organism: Platichthys flesus (European flounder)
Lineage: Eukaryota; Metazoa; Chordata; Actinopteri; Pleuronectiformes; Pleuronectidae
Exons: 6
Source: RefSeq, a predicted model, not a curated record
ACCGAAAACAUGUCUACCAAAUUCGCAAUAAGAAUAUAGUCAUUAAGAGCAUUUCCAUUAAGAUGAAGAUUUAAGAAAAAUCCAGACUGGUCUCUUAAUGUUUAACAGAGCUGUAUGCCCAAAAAGUUCUAAUUUUCUCUAUACAUUGGUGUAGGAACCGAAAACCGAAUAAAAGGGGGUGGAUAUAUCACUCUAUCUAUAAAUCAAGGAAAGACUGUCCUUGAUUGGCCCUUCAGUAUAUACCUGGCCAGAGACUGACAGUAAUUUUUCUCAUUUGUCAUUGCAAUUUUUCUUUCUUUUUUUGAUUUGUGUGUUGUAUUUGUGCUGCGAUCACUGCCGAAAAUCCAACAAAGCAGACAAUGUUUCUCCUCCUGUUGCUCAAGGCUCAGGCAGAUAGUGGUCAAUCCACAGUUCCCUUGAUGUCUAGCCACGUAAAUUUUUAAGAAGACGAAAAAACUUCCUAUGCAGUUGACGUGAAAGUACUGCACAUUCAUCUCACAAAUGAUGGACCAAUCAUUCCCACUACACAGACAAGAAAUUGUAAAAAAGGAGCCUGCUGUACACAGCAUGGUUGAACGAUGGCCAGCACUCUUCACAGAGAGACAGGAGUUUAAUAGAAUCGCCAGUAAGAAUCUUGAGGGAGACUUCUUUGAGGCUCUGGACCAGCACACCCCUCGGUUCAUCGAAAUUUUCAGAACAAAAUGGGAACUGUUGGCCGGAAACUCAGUGAGCUGAUGCAGCACAUGAGCUGGAUGACAUCAGACGUGACAGUACUUCGCUCUGUUGUCCUCAAAGGCAUUCCGAUUUUACUUGGUGACGACUCCAGUGAAUUCUUCAUGACAUGCUCUGAUACAGCAAGAGACGAGGCCCUAGAAUGCAUCACUGUUGGUGUGCUGACAGUUGUCAGUGAAGAUAGUCCUCACAAGGGUCCAAGUUCAGUGGACCUCCAGCCCAGCUCCACUGCCAUCAUUCUGGAGGGAGGUAUCGUCAUGGAUCGUAUUAAAAACUUGCCUCAGGCAGUUUGUCUGUCAUUUGGGCUUACAUUUGCUUGCAUUUGGAUUACCCAAAAUGCAUGGCAAAUACACUCAACUUCAUUCAGACUGUGAUGCUUGGACUGGGAAAGAAAAACCUCCCACCAAAUAUGUUAACUCUGAAGAACAGUCACCUGGAUUAGACUAGUAAAGAACCAUCAGCUGUCAGCAAUUUGCAAGUUAUAAUAAUGUUCUCAUGUUAUCAGAUAAAGUUUGAUGCUUUUAAUGCAACUGAGCUGGCUUGUUUACGAUCUCAAUUAAAAAAAAAAAUCCAUUCAAGUCUGUACCAUGUUAUGCUGGUAUGCUAAUAGUGGAAAUAGUGCCAAGUUGUGUUACAAAUAGUUGUUGUUAGAUAAUGUUGUCAACAGUGAACCUAGCAAGGUUGACCUGUUUAAAUUUGUGUUUUGGGAAAAGUUUUAAUACUUGUUAUGUAGUAAAAUACAAACCCCAAGGAGUGAUGUUUUUAACCUUGUUUAAAACUUGGACUGAUGCCCGCUUUGGGACACAAAAGCAUUUGUUGUACUUUCAGUUUUGAUCAGAAAUGCGUUAAUUUUCAUGCACUGAAGUCCUGUAGUUAUCAGGUGUUUACAUGUUUAAUAUUGUGAGACUGUUACAUGCAUAGAAUUAGUUCACAAAAAUGUGGGUUUAUUUUUGACUCGUCCAUGUCAUGGUACACAGUCCAAUCAAACCACAAGUUUGUUGUUUAGCUGCUGUUUUGUAUUUGAAUGUACAAGAAAGUGAUACUUGGGAACAGAACACUUGAGGCUGAAUAAUAGAUGUAAUGCAUAUUGUUAUUACAAUAGCUUAACAUAGAUCACACUAUGAGCAAUUUUACAAUUAGCUUUAAAAUACAUUGAAUAUGACAAGAGGAUGGAGAACAGUAAUUUUAUUGAUUACUGUAAGGUUAUAACAUGAGUAAUAAAACUUGUAUAUUGGAGAAUUGGAAUAAAAAGUAAUAACAGUAUCAAAUGUUUAUUGUUCAGCCUAGAUCUGUAAAUCAGUGAUUCUCAAAUGGGGGUACGCGUACCCCUGGGGGUACUUGAAGGUACUCCAGGGGGUACUUGAGAUUUUUUUUUUAUAUAUUUAAAAUUAGCAUCCAUUCAAAAAUCCUUGAAAAAUUGUUAUUUAACAAAUAUUCAAUAAAAUAUAAGCGUAAGUUCAUGAACUGAAUUUUAUAUUUAGUAGGCUUUUAAUUGAAUUAUCCUAAAAAAAAACAGAGUCUCCCCCAUACCGAUGGUUUGACCCAACCUGGCACACGCCACCUGUCAUCACCUGUCAUAUGCCUUGAAAACUUCAACAAUGGAGUUGAGUUGAAGUGCAGCAGCAAUGCUGCUGAAACACGGAGGGACAAGUACCAAAGAAGGCGAAACCAGAGUAGAGAGCCUUCCCUAAACAACACUGUGAGAGCUUGUGCCUCUUCGGAGGGGCGCUAAAAUGGACAAGUUUUCCGUUGUGAAGUUAAUGAUUCAUAACAAGAAGUCCGCGUCUCUACCGGUACCCUUUCAAAAUAAAAGCAUGUAAUACAAAAGCGGAAAUGAAAUUGUAUGACCUUAAAGCGAGCAAAUAUGUCACAAUAAAAUAACAGAAAGACACUUCAAUAAUAUUAACAAUAACAUUGAUUGGGUUAUUUACACUUAAUGUUUUUUCUGUGGGGAGAGAUUAGCCAACAGUGGCAUUAAGCCACCACAUCUUCAGCGGUAUCUCCAGACAAAACAUGAAAGUCAUGUUGGUAAGCCACCUGAGUUUUUUAAGAGGAAACUCUCUGAAUUCAGGUCAUCUCAAGACACGAUGCGAAAAGCCUCCCCAAAGCAAACUGAAACAAGCUACCUGUCAGUAUUCUUUUCGAUCCUUAAAAAGAUAUUUUAAGAUGAUGAAUAUUAAAAAAAUAUGUUUUGAGCUAAUCUUUUAUUUAAAACUAAGUUAAUGAUCCCAAAAGAGGUCACUUUAAGUUGAUAAUUAUUUUGAGGUGCACAAAUCUUUAUUUAUAUUGAGAUAAUAAUAAAAGUCUUUAGUUAUUUUAUAUCUUUUUAUUUCGAAAUAGUUCAAGAGAGACCACUACAAAUGAGCAAUGUUAUGCACAUUGAUGGAGUUUUAAAUUUGAAUGUGUCUAGUUACAAGACUUAAUAAAUCACAUUACAUCUUUCUUUGCGCUGGUUAGGGGGUACUCUGCAGAAUUUUUUCUUCGAAGGGGGUACGUCACUGAAAAAAGGUUGAGAACCACUG